GUCCCCGUAGCUCAACGGACAGAGCAGAGGUUUCCUAAACCUCCGAUGGCAGUUCGAUUCUGCCCGGGGAUACAA
Molecule: transfer RNA, 75 nt
Filed under: Candidatus Gottesmanbacteria bacterium RIFCSPHIGHO2_02_FULL_39_14
Lineage: Bacteria; Candidatus Gottesmaniibacteriota
Description: tRNA-Arg
Rfam family: tRNA
About the family: Transfer RNA (tRNA) molecules are approximately 80 nucleotides in length. Their secondary structure includes four short double-helical elements and three loops (D, anti-codon, and T loops).
Source: RNAcentral